GGGGAUUUAGCUCAGUGGUAGAGCGCUUGCCUAGUAAGCACGAGGCCCUGGAUUCAGUCCUCA
This 63-nucleotide transfer RNA is filed under the name Rattus norvegicus (Norway rat). It matches the Rfam family "tRNA". Rfam says of the family: Transfer RNA (tRNA) molecules are approximately 80 nucleotides in length. Lineage: Eukaryota; Metazoa; Chordata; Mammalia; Rodentia; Muridae. The record is from Rfam by way of RNAcentral.